This 141-nucleotide small RNA is filed under the name bovine gut metagenome. Its description in RNAcentral is "HNH endonuclease-associated RNA and ORF (HEARO) RNA". It matches the Rfam family "HNH endonuclease-associated RNA and ORF (HEARO) RNA", at positions 1 to 127 of the family's 211-position model. The record is from RNAcentral.
GUCAACUACCCACCGCUUAGACUGACGUCUUGAAGCGGGGGCUUGUGAAAACAAGUCAGUUGAUUAGCCUGAGUGCUCAGGGCACUACGUUAUCUGCGAAUAUACAGGUACCCCGGGAUGCUCCACAAGUCCCGGGCACUA